This 254-nucleotide ribosomal RNA is filed under the name uncultured bacterium. Its description in RNAcentral is "partial 16S ribosomal RNA". It matches the Rfam family "Bacterial small subunit ribosomal RNA", at positions 524 to 776 of the family's 1533-position model. The record is from RNAcentral.
GACGUAGGGCGCGAGCGUUUGUCCGGAUUUAUUGGGCGUAAAGAGCUCGUAGGCGGUCUGUCGCGUCUGCUGUGAAAUCCCGAGGCUCAACCUCGGGCUUGCAGUGGGUACGGGCAGGCUAGAGUGCGGUAGGGGAGACUGGAAUUCCUGGUGUAGCGGUGAAAUGCGCAGAUAUCAGGAGGAACACCAAUUGCGAAGGCAGCUCGCUGGGACGUUACUGACGCUGAGACGCGAAAGCGUGGGGAGCAAACAGG